ACACGCAAGCGGGGAGACCUCCAAGGCAGCGAGGCAUCGGACAUGUGUCAGCACAUCUGGGGCGCACAUCCGUCGAGCCCGAGGGGAGAUUUGCCGGAACAAUUCAAACUGCGAUAUUGAUCUUGGGGGUGACUGUCCCUGGCCGGCUGUCGGGUGGGAGUGCGAGUGUGCACUCGCUCGGAAGUGUGUGCGCGUGUGUAUGUGUGUGUGCCGUGGCGGGCCCCCCCCUUCCCCCCCUGUUUUCCCGUCGAGUGAUGCACUUGGAAUGAGAAUCAGAGGAUGGAAAUAGUCUGGGAGGUGCUUUUUCUUCUUCAAGCCAAUUUCAUCGUCUGCAUAUCAGCUCAACAGAAUUCACCAAAAAUCCAUGAAGGCUGGUGGGCGUACAAGGAGGUGGUCCAGGGAAGCUUUGUUCCAGGACUGUCAGCAAGUUACCUACACACCUCAGCUCCCUGGGUUCUUCAUCUGUAAAAUGGAGAUAAGAACUAAAUCAGCCUUGUGAGUUCCUUCUUUCUGGGGAUUGGUGAACUCAGCUUGGAAUCUUUGCUCUGUGGGGAAACGGCAGUCGCCAG
This 569-nucleotide small RNA is filed under the name Pongo abelii (Sumatran orangutan). Its description in RNAcentral is "processed transcript". Lineage: Eukaryota; Metazoa; Chordata; Mammalia; Primates; Hominidae. The record is from RNAcentral.